GAAUCAACGCUGGCGGCGUGCGUCAGACAUGCAAUCGAACGAUUGACUUCCUUCGGGAAAGAUAUAAAGUGGCGCACGGGUGAGUAACACGUAAGUAAUCUACCUUCGGAUGGGGAAUAACAGUCGGAAACGACUGCUAAUACCGCAUAAUGCAGCGGCAUCAUAAGAUGACAGUUGUUAAAGUAUUUAUACGUCUGGAGAGGAGCUUGCGGCAGAUUAGCUAGUUGGUAAGGUAACGGCUUACCAAGGCUACGAUCUGUAUCCGACCUGAGAGGGUGGUCGGACACACUGACACUGAAUAACGGGUCAGACUCCUACGGGAGGCAGCAGUCGGGAAUUUUGGGCAAUGGGCGAAAGCCUGACCCAGCAACGCCGCGUGAAGGAUGAAGUCUUUCGGGAUGUAAACUUCGUAAGAAUAGGAAGAAUAAAUGACGGUACUAUUUGUAAGGUCCGGCUAACUACGUGCCAGCAGCCGCGGUAAUACGUAGGGACCAAGCGUUGUUCGGAUUUACUGGGCGUAAAGGGCGCGUAGGCGGCGUGUCAAGUCAAUUGUGAAAUCUCCGAGCUUAACUCGGAACGGUCAAUUGAUACUGAUGUGCUAGAGUGCAGAAGGGGCAAUCGGAAUUCUUGGUGUAGCGGUGAAAUGCGUAGAUAUCAAGAGGAACACCUGAGGUGAAGACGGGUUGCUGGGCUGACACUGACGCUGAGGCGCGAAAGCUAGGGUAGCAAACGGGAUUAGAUACCCCGGUAGUCCUAGCCCUAAACGAUGAAUACUUGGUGUCUGGAAUAUUAAUUUUCCGGGUGCCGUCGCUAACGUUUUUAGUAUCCGCC
This 831-nucleotide ribosomal RNA is filed under the name uncultured bacterium. RNAcentral describes it as "bacterial SSU rRNA". It matches the Rfam family "Bacterial small subunit ribosomal RNA", at positions 27 to 873 of the family's 1533-position model. The record is from RNAcentral.